GAUUUACAGAACUAGAAGUCAAAACUUAUAAAGAAAUUCUAGUCCAUUUGAACGACAGUGCCGGUAGACUGUAGAAGCAUCGGUUGACAUUCACCUGCGUUAUUUUCACACGAUGGACAGCAGACCAAAUAAGCAUGCUGUUGGGAGACGACUGUAUGGAAUACAACUCAAAAUACAAGUACCAGGAGUGUGAAGUCUUCAGAAAUAAAAACAAAUUCUAGCUAAGUCUUCAAGAAAUAAAAACAAAUUCUAGCUAAUAAUCCAGAGCUUAGUUAAUUAUUAUUCAAUAAUUUACUGGACCAAACAAAACA
This is a long non-coding RNA of Macrobrachium nipponense, 311 nucleotides long. RefSeq lists it as uncharacterized. Lineage: Eukaryota; Metazoa; Arthropoda; Malacostraca; Decapoda; Palaemonidae. The transcript has 3 exons. The record is from RefSeq and is a predicted model, not a curated record.